UGGACACAAUAUCUUCAUUUUAUUUUUAUGCGGUGCCGAGGGUCAAACCCAGGGCCUCACACAGGCUGGGCAAGCGCUGUACACUGAGCCACCACCCCAGCCCUUGAAUGUGACUUUUAAGCAAAACACCCAGCAGGUAUGGCAGCUCAGGGGACGAUGACGUCAGCGAGCAGGCUCCUGACAGAGCUGGCUCUUCUCUUGCCCGCGUCCUCCUCCACUCUUCCCGGCCAGCCUGAGAGACGCACUGCUGUCCCCGACUUCCAGAUGAGGAAACCGAGGCUCAGGUGUGACUUGCUCCAUGCAUCCAGCUUGUAAAGACAAACAGGCACACAGACCUGUCACCUGCUGGGCAGGAGCCCGCAGCUCGGGGGUCACCCCUGAUGGACACGCUUUGCGAACUGCAGAGUGCCGGCCACCUCUGGGGUGUGGCAUCUCUGGUGAUUCCUCUGAUAGCGAUGAUCACAACGGCCACCUCUGGGCCACCACCGGUACCUGCCCUGCACAAACGUGGUCACUCACUUCUGGCCAGCUCCACGAGGUUUAGGUCUCCAGCACCCAGCAGGGUUGAGACGAGGCUCGCGGUUCAGGGCAGUGUGGAGGGGGCUCCAGUCCCCCAGGCCCUCGGGCACCUGGUCUCUCUCCAGCCCAAGUGACUCCACCCCGCGCCUCCGGCCUCUGGGCACCUGCCCCACUGAUCCUCCUUCUGGAAAGCCCCUACCUCCUGACCACCUGGAAAGAGCCCUAGGGCUGGUCAUCAGGCGCCUCCUCUGUGAGGUCCUCCUCUGUCUGUCCGCAUCCUGUCCACACCGCCCGCUGUCCACACCAGCAAACCCAUUUGCAUAGCUGGCGGUGAGACCUGGGCAAGCUCGUCCACCUCUCUGUGCUUGCUUCUCUGCGAAGCAGGGGCAGCACCGUGACCUGCCUAGGACGGGCUGACACUUGCAAGGCAUUUACAAGAAUGUCUGGCAUGGAGUAAGUAAGCAGUGAAUGUCACCAUUAUUAAAAUAAUGACUCUUACCUCAUGGGCUGUCAUGAGGAUUAGCCGUCGAGUGCUUAAUACCAUCCGGCAUCACGAGCGCCUUGAGAAAGGGGAGCUUCCUCCUCCG
RNAcentral lists this long non-coding RNA (1106 nucleotides) under Ictidomys tridecemlineatus (thirteen-lined ground squirrel). RNAcentral's name for it is "lncRNA (ENSSTOG00000030720.1)". The record is from RNAcentral. Lineage: Eukaryota; Metazoa; Chordata; Mammalia; Rodentia; Sciuridae.